UGCCCCUAUAAUUCUAGUUUUAGUUGAUUUCCCAGUUGAUUUCAUUCUACUUGAAAGAGCAAUAGCUACAGGGGAGGAUCACAGGAACUUUUAUUAACCAGAGAGUAUGUAUGAAGCCCACUGUUGGUUCUUACAACAGCCCUAGAAAAAAGUGGAUAAGCUCCCAGAGACUUCAGGAAACCGGUGGUCGCCCAAUGCCAUGUAACUAAUAAAAGAUAGAAUCCAGGGGCACCUGGGUGGCUCAGUGGGUUAAAGCCUCUGCUUUCGGCUCGGGUCAUGGUCUCAGGGUCCUGGGAUCGAGCCUCGCAUCAGGCUCUCUGCUCAGCGGCGACCUACUUCCUCCUCUCUCUCUCUCUCUGCCUGCCUCUCUGCUUACUUGUGAUCUCUGUCUGUCAAAUAAACAAAUAAGAUCUUUUAAAAAAAAGAAAAGAAGUAAAAGAAAAAAAGAGAUAGAAUCCAGUUUGAAGUCCAAUGAGCUUAGCUCCUGUUUUUCUCUAAGAGGCGUAUUUUGGAAGGCCAACCUCAACAUGAGAGACAGAAAUACCAUGGAAAAAAUAGAGUUGACUACUCACUUAAGAGUCUGUAACAAGGUUGGAGCCACAGGGCUGUUGCUGAAGACCAUGAUUCAUUCAUUCCUUUCUGUCGCCUGGCUUAUUAUCCGGUCUCAAGACUGCUAUAACUUUUGGGAUUGGGGGAAAAAAGCUCGAGUCCAUGCAAUGGUCACAUCUCUAGUUUCUGAGAUGCCUACUUCACACAUAAUGGGGGAGAUACGAGCAGGAGGAUUGUGUGUAAUCAUGGACAAUCCCCCACUGUGCCAAGGUGGACUCAGGAACCCCAGGGAGAGGUUUUAGAAAAUCAGACUCUGAAAAACAAAACAAAACAACAACAACAACAACAAACAGAUCCUGGGGUUCUGGAAGCUGAAAGUGCUUGGCAGGAAUGAAAGUACUUGAUACUUCCAUUCCUGUCUCUGGAAGGAGUCCCAGGAUUUGUUGGAAUUGGGUCAAGUAAAGAGGGGCUCGUUAGUGAUAAUGACGACGACACACCUCCACUCCUCCACCUAGAGAACCUUCUUAGCCUUCCCCAUACACACUCUCCUGUAAAGAACUCCCUUCCACUUCGGCUUUGCUGGGGUCCUCAGAUUUCACAAAUGAAGAUUUCAGGUCCCUCCUGUCUCAGGACUGAGACCAUUUUUUGUUGCAGGCUGGGAGCUGGCAGUAUAACUUCAAGGCCAGAACGCGUGUGGCUUCCUUAAGAACGUGCCUGCCGCGUGGAGCAGACUUCUCCACUCCAGCUUCAGCCCCACGGGCUUCACCAGAAUUGCUCUCUCUGUGCUCACCAGUACCCUCCAUGUCACCCAUGCCAGGAGUAUUUCGGAGUCCUCAUCUGGGCUGACACACUCCUCAGGGGACCGUCUGAGAAUCCUUCUCUUGCACAUGAAAGAAAACCCAGCUCAAAUUGUAGUAAACGAAGGAGAUUGCAUUUCUGCAGAACGUCAGAAAAUAGAAAUCCUGUUUUUCACUUGUGCCCAAUUCUUUCUACAAAAAAGUAAACAUGAAGGUAAGGUAUUUUUUCAUUGUUAAUAUAAAUGUUACCUAUUGCAUCUUCAUUUUGAUGUGUGAAUGAAAUUAUGUUCUAAUUAUUAAUGAAGGAAAUACAUAUGAUCAUCACUGCCUUUCAGGUUGUCC
Long non-coding RNA from Mustela lutreola (European mink), 1688 nucleotides. RefSeq lists it as uncharacterized. The record is from RefSeq and is a predicted model, not a curated record. Lineage: Eukaryota; Metazoa; Chordata; Mammalia; Carnivora; Mustelidae. The transcript has 3 exons.